GCACAAUGGGCGAAAGCCUGAUGCAGCAACGCCGCGUGAGUGAUGAAGGCCUUCGGGUCGUAAAGCUCUUUGAUCAGGGAUGAUAAUGACAGUACCUGAAAAACAAGCCACGGCUAACUACGUGCCAGCAGCCGCGGUAAUACGUAGGUGGCGAGCGUUGUCCGGAAUUACUGGGCGUAAAGGAUGCGUAGGUGGAUACUUAAGUGGGAUGUGAAAUCCCCGGGCUCAACCCGGGAACUGCAUUCCAAACUGGGUAUCUAGAGUGCAGGAGAGGAAAGCGGAAUUCCUAGUGUAGCGGUGAAAUGCGUAGAUAUUAGGAGGAACACCAGUGGCGAAGGCGGCUUUCUGGACUGUAACUGACACUGAGGCAUGAAAGCGUGGGAGCAANCAGGAUUAGAUACCCUGGUAGUCCACNCCGUAAACUAUGGGUACUAGGUGUAGGGGGUAUCGACUCCCCCUGUGCCGUCGUUAACACAAUAAGUACCCCGCCUGGGGAGUACGGUCGCAAGACUAAA
Molecule: ribosomal RNA, 515 nt
Filed under: uncultured bacterium
Lineage: Bacteria
Description: bacterial SSU rRNA
Rfam family: Bacterial small subunit ribosomal RNA
Source: RNAcentral